GAUGAACGCUGGCGGCGUGCCUAAUACAUGCAAGUCGAGCGAACAGACGAGGAGCUUGCUCCUCUGACGUUAGCGGCGGACGGGCGAGUAACACGUGGAUAACCUACCUAUAAGACUGGGAUAACUUCGGGAAACCGGAGACAAUACCGGCUAAUAUAUUGAACCGCAUGGUUCAAUAGUGAAAGACGGUUUUGCUGUCACUUAUAGAUGGAUCCGCGCCGCAUUAGCUAGUUGGUAAGGUAACGGCUUACCAAGGCAACGAUGCGUAGCCGACCUGAGAGGGUGAUCGGCCACACUGGAACUGAGACACGGUCCAGACUCCUACGGGAGGCAGCAGUAGGGAAUCUUCCGCAAUGGGCGAAAGCCUGACGGAGCAACGCCGCGUGAGUGAUGAAGGUCUUCGGAUCGUAAAACUCUGUUAUUAGGGAAGAACAAAUGUGUAAGUAACUAUGCACGUCUUGACGGUACCUAAUCAGAAAGCCACGGCUAACUACGUG
RNAcentral lists this ribosomal RNA (497 nucleotides) under uncultured bacterium. Its description in RNAcentral is "partial 16S ribosomal RNA". It matches the Rfam family "Bacterial small subunit ribosomal RNA", at positions 28 to 507 of the family's 1533-position model. The record is from RNAcentral.